This 981-nucleotide long non-coding RNA is filed under the name Mytilus galloprovincialis (Mediterranean mussel). Lineage: Eukaryota; Metazoa; Mollusca; Bivalvia; Mytilida; Mytilidae. The record is from RNAcentral.
CGUUUGAGAAGCUCCCCUUCUAUAAUCGAUGUUGUGAGUAGUAUUGAUUUAAAUGGACAAUAGAUGGACAAUAGACACCUGUAAACAAUAGGUCUUUUAAACUGUGUAGCGGAGGGGACCGUUUCAAGUGAAAUUCGUGUGUUUGUUUAUUUUGCUAUCUUCUGCAGACUGGAAAAAAUGCAAGUCAAAAUCCAGGUAAGUCAUUAAUUUUCUGAAACAUAGACUUCAUAUAACUUUUAUAUACCUAGGUCCAGCCAUGCCUUAACACUUUCCUAGAUGCAUCAGUUUGUCUGUACUCAUAGUAAAUUUUAGUAAAAACGGCCAUAUUUUUCAAUUCCUUCAGAUGAACCUUAAAGAAGAUACAUUAUCCUAUAUCAGACCCUAGUUUGUGCCCCCGAAUACUUACCUACCUACCCUUAUUUUGAAAAGGUUGUUACCGGAAACACAUAUAUUUUUUUAUACCUCACUUUCAGGUAAAGAGAUGGGAUUUUUUUCUGAGACAAGUGCUUGUCGGACCAUCCGCAAGAACUUGCGGUCAUCCGAUGUUUAGUACUUCAGUACUUGCAUUUGUUGAAGUUUUCUAGUUUCAUACAAAGACAUAUAAUUUAACAAGGAUGAUAUUUUGGCAAAUAAUAAGUCCAUCCUGGCUUCAAUGAACAUUACAUGAAACAACAAAUCGAAGUACUUACCUUGUUAGUAUUGGAUACCUAAGCUUCACAAAAUUCCGUACAGACAACUGUACACUGCCGGCUCAUCUGCAUGUUCCACUAAAGAAUUGUCUAUUAGAUUGACUAGAAUUCUGUCCGCAGUGAAAGAGGUUCUUCAGAAAUACUGUAAAAACUGUUUACUCGCGUAGUGGUAUUAAUCAUAAGUGCAUGAUUUAAAAGUUCGAUAGAAAAGGAUAAUGUUAAAUCUCGCUCUUUUCCUGAAAUUAGUUCUAUCAAAACUUUUAAUUUUUUAACCCUGUAUACCACCAUUUCC